Molecule: ribosomal RNA, 813 nt
Filed under: uncultured bacterium
Lineage: Bacteria
Description: bacterial SSU rRNA
Rfam family: Bacterial small subunit ribosomal RNA
Source: RNAcentral
AGAGUUUGAUCAUGGCUCAGAGCGAACGCUGGCGGCGUACUUAACACAUGCAAGUCGAACGAGGAGCUUCGGUGUAGCAAUACAUCGCAGCUUCGAGUGGCGCACGGGUGAGUAACACGUGGGCAACCUGCCCUUGAGACCGGGAUACCCCCUCGAAAGGGGGGCUAAUACUGGAUACGCUCUUCGGGUCGCAAGACCGGGGGAGGAAAGGUGGCGAAAGCUGCCGCUCUUGGAGGGGCUCGCGGCCUAUCAGCUAGUUGGUGGGGUCACGGCUCACCAAGGCGAUGACGGGUAGCUGGUCUGAGAGGACGACCAGCCACACGGGGACUGAGACACGGCCCCGACUCCUACGGGAGGCAGCAGUGGGGAAUUUUCCGCAAUGGGCGCAAGCCUGACGGAGUGACGCCGCGUGGGGGACGAAGGCCUUCGGGUCGUAAACCCCUGUCAGAGGGAAAGAAGGGCCGCGUGGUAAAUAGCCGCGUGGUUUGACGGUACCUUCAGAGGAAGCCCCGGCCAACUCUGUGCCAGCAGCCGCGGUAAGACAGAGGGGGCAAGCGUUGCUCGGAAUCACUGGGCGUAAAGGGCGCGUAGGCGGGAUGGCAAGUCGGUCGUGAAAUCCCUCGGCUCAACCGAGGAGCGUCGGCCGAUACUGCCGUUCUUGAGGGAUGCAGAGGAGACUGGAAUUCCCGGUGUAGCGGUGAAAUGUGUAGAGAUCGGGAGGAACACCGGUGGCGAAGGCGGGUCUCUGGGCAUUUCCUGACGCUGAGGCGCGAAAGCGUGGGGAGCAAACGGGAUUAGAUACCCCAGUAGUCC